UACGAAGGGGGCUAGCGUUGUUCGGAAUCACUGGGCGUAAAGCGCGUGUAGGCGGGAUCGUUAAGUCGGGGGUGAAAUCCUGAGGCUCAACCUCAGAACUGCCUUCGAUACUGGCGAUCUUAGAGUCCGGGAGAGGUGAGUGGAACUCCUAGUGUAGAGGUGAAAUUCGUAGAUAUUCGCAAGAACACCAGUGGCGAAGGCGGCUCACUGGCCCGAUACUGACGCUGAGGCACGAAAGCGUGGGG
RNAcentral lists this ribosomal RNA (245 nucleotides) under uncultured bacterium. RNAcentral's name for it is "partial 16S ribosomal RNA". It matches the Rfam family "Bacterial small subunit ribosomal RNA", at positions 524 to 766 of the family's 1533-position model. The record is from RNAcentral.